CUCACUCGUUGUCUCAGUGGGCACAGAUGAAAAAACCUGAAGAAAGAGAAAAAGUAUCUUGUUUUGAUUUCUUCACUAAAUGAUUGCUUCAUUCAGUGCAGGAAUGUGGAAUUCUAGGACCAGCUGAAAGAUGUUGUGUGGGGAAUUCCUUUCUCAGCCUCUCUUCUCUUGGAGAUCCUGUUGCAUGACAGAACCAAAGCAGAGAGCAAGCUGCGUGCCCACAGUGCCACGUUACGAUGACUCUGCUGCGAGAAGUCCAGCACCCCUUGGGUUGGGUGUACACUCAGCAGGGUCUCUCACUUCUCAUGGCCACCCUCUGCAUGACAAGUUACAGAUAGUUGUGCCUGAUACACCAGCGAGGCAGCCACAAUCCUGUGGAGCACUCAGCAGACUGCUGCUGGCAUCCCACUUCAUCAGUACUGACUUCAUUCCAGCUUCAUGUGUGAAUUCCUUGCACACGGCAUCUUUGCCUACAGACCACGUUAUCUCCCUUCAAAUGAGUGUGUUGAUCAAAGCCACAAAGUUCAACAGCCACCUUUGAGCUCAGACUGUGCAGAUGGGGCAGAUACCAGAAAAAGACAACUCCUUCCAAACUGAGGGUCAAAUCUUCGUCUUGCCAUUUAAAUAAUAUUUAUGUUUGUUUUUCCAAAGAAAGUAUGGAUUUUAGCCUGACUGAUAUCAUUAAGCCUGAUUUUAUACUACUUAAUUAUCAACGUGCUCAUAGGGAGGGUUUCAGCUUACACCAGCUGGCAUUUUCCUAGGUCACGUCCAGAAGAGACACAAGGACACCCCUCCCAGGAGGCAAUAUGGACAACAUUCUCCUUCUUUGAAGAGUGAAGGAAAGGAGCAUUUCCCAUGCCACUUUUUUUUCUCAGGGUUUGCCCCUUCGCCUUUCUUUGCUGGCAUGGGUGUAGUUUGCACCCAGAUAAGACUUCCUGCAGAUCCCUGUACCCUACAGUGUUCAACAACAGAAGAAGUAAUUUUCUGCUAGGUUGAACAGGAGAGGAAACAAUUUGCUACUCAUGCCAUCACCCUUUGCGGAGCAAAAAUAUAGUGGGAUUAUGCUUGAGGCCUCCUCCUGAGUAAAAUGGAUCAUGCUGGGUGUGCACAAACUCACGUUACAGCUAUCUGUCUUCUUGCUUUAUGUGAAUUUCCUUUUCUUUUUUUUUCCUAAUUUUUGUUUCAUUUUGUAUAAUUUUGUUUAAGAUUAAAUAAUUGUGUCCAAUUAACAGAUUAUGUUUAUCUCUGUGCAACAUGAAAGUUGUAAGUCAGACAUUUAGGUACAAGAUGGGAAGUUUCAUAAUUACUUUUUGUAUGUUAUACCCGUGUGACAAUUUAUGUUGUAAAACCACUAUAUUUACAUUGUGUUAUAAUUAAAGGUUAUUUUUUAAGGUAUUUUAAAAGAUAUCCAUACAUGCCUCCUCUUGAGAUUGCUAACUUCUAUUAUCUUAAGCAUGUCAUAGAGGAAAUUUAUUAAAAAAUCCAGUGUUUGGCUUCUUUUUAUUUCCUUUGUGAUCCUGGUUUUGAUAAUCAUUAUUAAA
This 1541-nucleotide long non-coding RNA is filed under the name Parus major (Great Tit). Its description in RNAcentral is "lncRNA (ENSPMJG00000010420.1)". The record is from RNAcentral. Lineage: Eukaryota; Metazoa; Chordata; Aves; Passeriformes; Paridae.